This 1337-nucleotide long non-coding RNA is filed under the name Coturnix japonica (Japanese quail). RNAcentral describes it as "lncRNA (ENSCJPG00005017395.1)". The record is from RNAcentral. Lineage: Eukaryota; Metazoa; Chordata; Aves; Galliformes; Phasianidae.
UGAAUUCGCACUGGAAGAGGAAGGGAAAACGGACAGCAAAAAUUGAUAGAAAAAUACCCCACAAACCCAACGACGCACACAAGGAAAAAAAGAAAAAACACCCCAAUAAAGUGAAAAACAGCGGAAUAAAAUGUGGGGGGAAAAAUAUAUAUAUAUAUAUUAAAAAAUAAAAGAAAAAAAAAUAAGAAUGAAAAAAAAAAUAAAAGAAAAAAGAAAACAAAACAAGGCAGCUCCCGGCUCCUGGGACUCCCGGUCUGCGGAGGGCAGAGAGUUACGUCCUUCUUUUUUUUUGUUGUUGUUGUUGCGGCGAAGGGAGAAGCGAGCGGGGGCGAAACCCUUUCGGAGAAGUCCUUCCCGGCACUGAAGCGGCGCCGGAGCGGAGCGGAACGGCGGUCGGGGAGGGAGGGAGGGAGGGAGUGAGGGCCGCACCGCUCACACCCCCGCGGGCUCCGACUGCGCCCCGGAGGGCUCCGCACCGCUGAGCGCUCCGCGGUUCGGCCGAGCGCCGCUCAUGGCUCGAGGAGCCGGAGUGGGGAACGGUCGGAUCUUGUCGUGAUCUCUGUAAAACUGUGACUAUCUCACAUGUCCUUCCUGCUCUGAUCCGCCCGCUAAUGAGCCAAGCCCCCUUGAUUGCUGAUUUUACGCGUUUCAGACCAAUUGUGGAUCUGCAUAGGCGUGGUUUUGACAGCUCCGGCCAAGCUCCGGGCGCGGGGAGGAGGGGUAGGGGGGGGGGGAGGAGGGGGGGGAGGGAGGACGGGAAGAAGGAAAAAAAAAGAAGAGAGAGAGAAAAAAAAAAAAAAAAAAAAAAAAGCAAAGGUGUCGGAAGCAUCGGCAGUAAGAAAACAUGUCAACAGAAUAAAAUAUUAACCAAUGACAGAGAAAAGUGCUCGAAAUCCCACCCCCGGCUCCUUUCCGCAUACCGGGUCAGCCCUGGCUGCGCCGCGGCCGGGGAGCGGCCAACGCCGAUCCUGGAAAGAGGAUCAAGGUGGGGCCCGCCCCGCCGCGCACCGCCGACAACCGACGGGGAGGCCGAGGCUCGGCCGCCGGGAGCACGGCGGAGAGCUGCAGGCGGCGAGGCCCGGAGCGGCGAGCUCCAUCCACAGCGGGUGAGUGGCGGAGACCCGCGCCCUGCUCUCGCUCCCGGCCCCGCGAGGCCGCUCCAAUGGGGGGAAUGUCCCGCUGGGAGCUCCGCGCGGACCCCGCCGUCGGGGCGCCCCGCGAGGUGCCCUCCCGUCGGGGCCGCGCUGCGCUGCCCGGCCCGAGGGGGCUGUUUACCCGGGCGGGGGGAGGCAGAUAAGGCGGAGGGGAAAUGCCGGGACUGUUUGCUGAGGGAUUAG